CUAGCGGCGCGCUUAACGCAUGCAAGUCGAGCGAUGAGGCUCCCUUCGGGGAGUACAUCAGCGGCAGACGGGUGAGUAACACGUAGGUAACCUGCCCUCAAGACGGGGAUAACGCCUGGGAACGGGCGCUAAUACCGGAUGACCUUAGUUGGGGAAGAUCCGAUUAAGGAAAGGCUAUGGCGCUUGAGGAGGGGCCUGCGGCCCAUCAGUUAGUUGGUAGGGUAACGGCCUACCAAGGCGAAGACGGGUAGGGGGUGUGAGAGCACGGUCCCCCACACUGGGACUGAGACACGGCCCAGACUCCUACGGGAGGCAGCAGCGGGGAAUAUUGCGCAAUGGACGGAAGUCAGACGCAGCGACGCCGCGUGGGUGAAGAAGGCCUUCGGGUUGUAAAGCCCUUUUCUGAGGGAAGAGAAAGGACGGUACCUUAGGGAUAAGCGUCGGCUAACUACGUGCCAGCAGCCGCGGUAAGACGUAGGACGCGAGCGUUAUCCGGAUUUACUGGGCGUAAAGCGUGUGUAGGCGGCGUGACAAGUUGGGCGUGAAAGCCCCGUGCUCAACGCGGGGAGGCCGCACAAUACUGUCAGGCUAGAGGGCACCAGAGGGGUGUGGAAUUCCCGGAGUAGCGGUAAAAUACGCAGAUAUCGGGAGGAACACCGGUGGCGAAAGCGGCACCCUGGGGUGCGCCUGACGCUGAGAGACGACAGCUAGGGGAGCGAACAGGAUUAGAGACCCUGGUAGUCCUAGCCGUAAACGAUGGAUGCUAGGUGUAGGAGUGAAGAGCUUCUGU
Molecule: ribosomal RNA, 790 nt
Filed under: uncultured organism
Description: bacterial SSU rRNA
Rfam family: Bacterial small subunit ribosomal RNA
Source: RNAcentral